Neogale vison (American mink) is the source of this 39-nucleotide unclassified non-coding RNA. The record is from Ensembl. Lineage: Eukaryota; Metazoa; Chordata; Mammalia; Carnivora; Mustelidae.
UUGCCCAACGGGGCUGUGGAUACCUGCCUUUUAAUUCUU